UAGGUGCGUAAUGUUCCCUACUAGAAAGGAGAGGGCAAGGCUGGUGCCAGCCGCCGCGGUAAAACCAGCUCUUCAAGUGGUCGGGAUAAUUAUUGGGCUUAAAGUGUCCGUAGCUGGUAAGGUAAGUUCCUGGUAAAAUUGGGCAGCUUAACUGUCCUUAUGCUAGGAAUACUGCUUUACUAGAGGGCGGGAGAGGUCUGAGGUACUACAGGGGUAGGAGUGAAAUCUUAUAAUCCUUGUAGGACCACCAGUGGCGAAGGCGUCAGACUGGAACGCGCCUGACGGUGAGGGACGAAAGCCAGGGGAGCGAACCGGAUUAGAUACCCGGGUAGUCCUGGCCGUAAACGAUGCACACUAGAUGAUGGUGCGGCCAUGAGCCGUAUCAGUGUCGUAGGGAACCGUUAAGUGUGCCGCCUGGGAAGUACGGUCGCAAGGCUUAAACUUAAAGGAAUUGGCGGGGAGCACCACAAGGGGUGANAGCUGCGGUUCAAUUGGACUCAACGCCGGGCAACUUACCAGGGGAGACAGCAGAAUGAAGGUCAGGUUGACGACCUUACCUAACAAGCUGAGAGGAGGUGCAUGGCCGUCGCCAGUUCGUGCUGUGAGGUAUCCUGUUAAGUCAGGCAACGAACGAGACCCGUGCCUUUAUUUGCCAUCAAGAAGUCACGACUUCGUUGGGAACGAUAAAGGGACUGCCGUCGAUAAGACGGAGGAAGGAGCGGGCAAAGGCAGGUCAGUAUGCCCCGAAACCCCUGGGCUACACGCGGGCUGCAAUGGUGCGAACAAUGGGCUGUGACUCCGACAGGAGAAACCAAUCCCGAAAUCGCAUCUCAGUUGGGAUUGUCAACUGUAACCCGUUGACAUGAACGUGGAAUCCCUAGUAA
This 884-nucleotide ribosomal RNA is filed under the name uncultured crenarchaeote. RNAcentral describes it as "bacterial SSU rRNA". It matches the Rfam family "Archaeal small subunit ribosomal RNA", at positions 413 to 1297 of the family's 1478-position model. Lineage: Archaea; Thermoproteati; Thermoproteota. The record is from RNAcentral.